UAUUUUAAAGAGAGUUUGAUCCUGGCUCAGGACGAACGCUGGCGGCGUGCCUAAUACAUGCAAGUCGAACGAACGGAGGAAGAGCUUGCUCUUCCAAAGUUAGUGGCGGACGGGUGAGUAACACGUGGGCAACCUGCCUGUAAGUUGGGGAUAACUCCGGGAAACCGGGGCUAAUACCGAAUGAUAAGGAGUGACGCAUGUCACUGCUUUGAAAGAUGGUUUCGGCUAUCGCUUACAGAUGGGCCCGCGGUGCAUUAGCUAGUUGGUAGGGUAAAGGCCUACCAAGGCAACGAUGCAUAGCCGACCUGAGAGGGUGAUCGGCCACACUGGGACUGAGACACGGCCCAGACUCCUACGGGAGGCAGCAGUAGGGAAUCUUCCGCAAUGGACGAAAGUCUGACGGAGCAACGCCGCGUGUAUGAAGAAGGUUUUCGGAUCGUAAAGUACUGUUGUUAGAGAAGAACAAGGAUAAGAGUAACUGCUUGUCCCUUGACGGUAUCUAACCAGAAAGCCACGGC
This 518-nucleotide ribosomal RNA is filed under the name Listeria seeligeri. RNAcentral's name for it is "bacterial SSU rRNA". It matches the Rfam family "Bacterial small subunit ribosomal RNA", at positions 1 to 497 of the family's 1533-position model. The record is from RNAcentral. Lineage: Bacteria; Bacillati; Bacillota; Bacilli; Caryophanales; Listeriaceae.